UUUAUACUGUUAGAUGGAUAGCUUGGUUUUGGUUUUGACGAAAGGCGUGGCAAGCUGCGAUAAGCUUGGGGGAGCUGCAUGCAAGCUUUGAUCCCAAGAUUCCUGAAUUAUCCAGAGAUGGAGAAAUACGCCGGGAAUUGAAACAUCUUAGUACCGGCAGGAAAAGAAAACAAAAAGUGAUACCCUUAAUAGCAGCGAGCGAAAAGGGCACAGGGCAAGCUGAAUCCUUUCUUGGUAACAAGAUUGGAGAUGUGGUGAAAUGUACUCCGUACCUUAUGAGUCAAACUUUGCUGGAACGCAAGGCUCUAGAGGGUGAUAGCCCCGUAGAUUAAAUAAGGCGGAUGAUUUUCUAAAAGAGUAGGGCUUCCUGGAUUGGAGGUCUGAAUACGGCAGGAUUAACUGCCAACCCUAAAUAAAACCAAAGUCCGAUAGUGAACAAGUACCGUGAGGGAAAGCUGAAAAGUACUCUUAACAGAGUGUGAAAAGAUUUGAAAUCUAACAGUUACAGUUUGUUACGGCUCUUACUGGCUUCGGCCAAAAGGGUUGUAACGUACGUUUUGAAAAACGGGCCAGGGAAUUUCUCUAUGUGGCGAGACUAAUCUUCGAUGAAGAGUAAUCAAAGCGAAAGCAAGUCUGAAAGGGCGUUAGUCACAUGGAUUUGACCUGAAGCCAAGUGAUCUAUUCAUGGGCAAGGUGAAGUCUUCCGAAAGGAGGAUGGAGGCCUGAACCGUUGUUGUGGACAUGCACUCGAAUGACCUGUGAAUAGGGGUGAAAAGCUUAUCUAACUUGGCGAUGGCUGGUUCCUAUUGAAAUAUGCCUACGUAUAGUCUUGUUUAGCUUGUUAGCGGUGUAAAGGACGGAUUGGUCUUGCAGGGGCAAAUGCUUACGGAGAUCUUUUCAACUCAGAAUCUGUUAACUGCCUAAAACAAGAAACAGGGAUGGUAUGUAAGAUACUAUUCCGAGACCCGAACAAGGGAGACUAAAGUUAAGGUCCCAAAAUUAAUGCUAAGUGUAACAAAAAGUGUCUUGAACCUGAGACACCAGGGAUGUAAGCUUAGAAGCAGCUAUCAUUUAAAGAAAGCGUAACAGCUCACCUAUCGAGGUUCAAGGCCUUGAAAAUGGACGGGGCUAAGCAUUAUACCGAUACUUUAGAGGCACUCAGAAGAGUGUUCUGGUAAAUAGGCGUACUUUCUGCGCAGAAGGUUUUAUGAGAAUAAGGCUGGAGCGGGAAGUAAUGAGAAUCCUGGUAAUAGUAGGAUGUGAUUUUCCUGAGAAUGGAAAAUGUCGAAAGGGUAAGGUUUCCUUGGCAAUAUAUGUUAGCCAAGGGUUAGUCAGUACCUAAGUUGUACCCUAACCGAGUACGACGAUGGACAUAAGGUUAAUAUUCCUUAACUAAUUAAAUCUUAUAUAGUAUGGUUUUGCUUUUGGACAGGCAAGCACUCGAGAGGGUGUUUUUGUAAAGAAAUCUGUCGAGGGUAAUCCUUAGACGCAGAAGAAUUUAUGAAACAAAAUUGCUGAUUCCGAGAGCCAGUGAAAAGUCUAUGCUCUUGAUUUAAUUAACUGUACCCAUAACCGGCACUGGUGCCCUAGCUUAGUAGGCUAAGACAUGAAAGGAUAAACCAAUUAAGGGAAUUCGGCAAAUUAGCCCUGUAACUUCGGUUGAAGGGGUGUCUAUUUUUGUGUGCUUCAGAAAUGUGUAUGCAUUAAUAGAUCUCAGUAACAAGGACGGCACGACUGUUUACCAAAAACGUAGCCAAGUGCAAAUCCGAAAGGACGUGUAUACUUGGUGAGGCCUGCCCAGUGGUGGUGUCUAAAACUCCUUUUCAAGGGAGCUAAGGUCCAUUAAACGGCGGGGGUAACUAUGACCCUCUUAAGGUAGCGUAAUGCCUUGUCGUCUGAAUGGCGACGUGCAUGAAUGGUUUAACGAUGUUGUCACUGUCCCUAAUUGGAGCCUUCUGAAAAUACCCUCCGGUGCACAGGCCGGAGACACCUAGUGGGAAGCGAAGACCUUGUGGAACUUUACUGCAACUUGUUGUUGUAAUUUUAAUAGAAAUGCAUAGAAUAGGUAGGAGCGUCGAGACUUGUAUUUCGGUGCAAGUGGAGCAAAUAUGUAAUACUACCCAUUUUUUUUAGGAUUGCUUACUCUUUAGAGGACAGCAGCAGGCGGGCAGUUUGACUGGGGCGGUGCCCUGUCGAAAAAAUAUCGAUAGGACUCAAAGAUAAACUCAUCCAGCUUGGAAAUCUGGAGUUGAGUGCGAGGGCAAAAGUUUAUCUGACUGUAUUUUGAACAAUAAGAAAUACAGGGACGAAAGUCGGACCUAGUGAACCCACGUGCUUUUUUAAUAGAAGCCGUGUCUGAUAGAAAAGUUACCCCAAGGAAAAUUGGCUGGUCGCCCCCGAUAGUCCGAAUUGACGGGGCGGGUUGGUGCUUCGCUGUCGGCUCUUCCUAUCCUGCGUGUGCAGAAGCGCGCAAGGGUGUCGGAGUUCACGCAUUAAAAGGGAUCGUUAGCUGGGUUAAGAACGUCGCGAGACAGUUUGUAUGAUAUCUACUAGGUGUGUUAUUGUCUGAGUGGAACAAACUCAUAGUACGAGAGGAACUGGGUUUGGAUGCCUCUGGUGAGCAGUUGUUAUAUGGCAGGCUGCAUAGCUACGCAUUGUUUGGAUAAGAGCUGAAUGCAUCUAAGCUCGAAGCCAUCCGCAAAACGAGACAAUUAAGGCCGUCACAUAAGAUGACGUUGAUAGAAUUGCUGUGUAAGAUUCAAGUUUCGACGAGAAUUUCAGCAGACAAUUACUAAAAGCCUCUUUUGUAGUAUU
This 2814-nucleotide ribosomal RNA is filed under the name marine metagenome. Its description in RNAcentral is "bacterial LSU rRNA". It matches the Rfam family "Archaeal large subunit ribosomal RNA". The record is from RNAcentral.